Molecule: ribosomal RNA, 400 nt
Filed under: uncultured bacterium
Lineage: Bacteria
Description: bacterial SSU rRNA
Rfam family: Bacterial small subunit ribosomal RNA
Source: RNAcentral
UGGGGAAUAUUGGACAAUGGGGGAAACCCUGAUCCAGCAAUGCCGCGUGUGUGAAGAAGGCCUUAGGGUUGUAAAGCACUUUCGGUUAGGAUGAAAGACUUAGGAUUAAUACUCUUAAGUUCUGACGUUAUCAACAAAAGAAGCACCGGCAAACUCUGUGCCAGCAGCCGCGGUAAUACAGAGGGUGCAAGCGUUAAUCGGAAUUAUUGGGCGUAAAGCGCAUGUAGGCGGAUAAGAAAGUUGGAUGUGAAAUCCCCGGGCUUAACCUGGGAACUGCAUCCAAAACUUCUUGUCUAGAGUAUAGAAGAGGAAAGUGGAAUUUCCGGUGUAGCAGUGAAAUGCGUAGAUAUCGGAAGGAACAUCAGUGGCGAAGGCGACUUUCUGGUCUAAUACUGACGCU